UGAGGAAUAUUGGUCAAUGGGCGAGAGCCUGAACCAGCCAUGCCGCGUGCAGGAAGACGGUCCUAUGGAUUGUAAACUGCUUUUAUUUGGGAAUAAACUCCGAUACGUGUAUCGGCCUGAAGGUACCAAAUGAAUAAGCACCGGCUAACUCCGUGCCAGCAGCCGCGGUAAUACGGAGGGUGCAAGCGUUAUCCGGAAUCAUUGGGUUUAAAGGGUCCGCAGGCGGAUUUAUAAGUCAGUGGUGAAAGCCCGUUGCUUAACAACGGAACUGCCAUUGAUACUGUAAGUCUUGAAUUCGAUCGAAGUGGGCGGAAUAUGACAUGUAGCGGUGAAAUGCUUAGAUAUGUCAUAGAACACCGAUAGCGAAGGCAGCUCACUAGGUCUG
This 385-nucleotide ribosomal RNA is filed under the name uncultured bacterium. Its description in RNAcentral is "bacterial SSU rRNA". It matches the Rfam family "Bacterial small subunit ribosomal RNA", at positions 355 to 737 of the family's 1533-position model. The record is from RNAcentral.